GCGCACACAGGCCCAUGUGGCUACUCCAUGCGUGCAGAUCACAUGGCUGUGCUGUCUGCUUUACGCAACCACGCAAAGCCACGGGGUCCUGGUCACACGAGACGUUUUGACCCGGAAAUGGCUAGGCAGAGGAAGUGCCUAGGUCCGCCGGGCAUGCGCAACCAUGCCCAACUGUGGGGGCGUGUCGUGAAUCCAUAUCAGCCUCCCCGAGGAGGUGGAGAAAAUGAAAGCCAGAAGAACAGACAGUUCGAAAAAACAACUGUGAGGCCAGCACAAAUAAAGGGCCUUCCUUCCCUGCAUGCUCGAGUACAAUGGAACACAGAGGAGACAAUGGGCGGGCACUCUAUGAUGCCACCAUCCUGCGCCCCAGGAAGAAAGGUGCAGAACACACCAGCUAAAGCCCGAAUCAGGAAGCCGCACUAAGGUGAGUCCCAGGGCAGGGGUCCAUGGGACCCAGUAACUGAAGAACAGAGGGGGAUGAAGACAAACUGAGUCCAGGCCAUGCUGAACUCAGAUCACGCUGAGCAUCUUCCUAUUGCAGAAGCCAGCCAUGCAUACGUAUGGCACAGGUUCUUUCCACUGGAGAGCAGCAGACGGGAGGGAAGGUAAAGUGGCAGCCAGGCCAGCCGAUAAGUCCCAGCUGACUAAGAUAUGAUUGCAGAAAACGGCAAGCGAAGGGGAGGGAAGACAGACCAGAGGCCACUCUGUCCUCCUGCCGGAGUGUAGAUAAAGAGAGAAAGCAAGCUAAGAACACGAGGGAAGAGGAGAGCGCAGAGGCCGGAGAGAAGACAGCCAGGGAGGACACGCUAUCUAACAGACAACAGACUCUACUCGGUUAAUAUAUAUAAGCCUGCCAUUAUGAAAAGGGCAGUCUGACAAAACGGAGUGCGGUAGCACAUGGCUGAGGUCCCGGCGCUUGGAAGGGGAGGCAGGGGCCAAACUUCAAAGCCAGACUGGGGUUUAGGAGCCCUUACCCGAAAACA
Non-coding RNA from Peromyscus maniculatus bairdii (prairie deer mouse), 983 nucleotides. Lineage: Eukaryota; Metazoa; Chordata; Mammalia; Rodentia; Cricetidae. The record is from RefSeq and is a predicted model, not a curated record.